UCCGCCCGAGAACUACGAGCACAAACGCUUAAAACUCUAAGGACUUGGCGGUGCCCCAAACCCACCUAGAGGAGCCUGUUCUAUAAUCGAUAACCCACGCUACACCCCACCACUCCUUGCCCCAACAGCCUACAUACCGCCGUCUCCAGCUCACCUCUUCUGAGAGCUUAAUAGUGAGCCCAAUAGCCCCUCCCACUAAAAAGACAGGUCAAGGUAUAGCUUAUGGAGUGGCAGAAAUGGGCUACAUUUUCUAGAAUAGAGAAUCAAUUACGAAAAGGGGUGUGAAAUAACCCCUGGAAGGCGGAUUUAGCAGUAA
RNAcentral lists this ribosomal RNA (316 nucleotides) under Buteo lagopus (rough-legged hawk). RNAcentral's name for it is "partial 12S ribosomal RNA". It matches the Rfam family "Bacterial small subunit ribosomal RNA", at positions 868 to 1341 of the family's 1533-position model. Lineage: Eukaryota; Metazoa; Chordata; Aves; Accipitriformes; Accipitridae. The record is from RNAcentral.